GUUCCCCCUCUCUAAUCCUUGCUAACUGGGUGACAGUGCUGCCUCAAUGCAAUGCACCUGGGCAAGGAUUCGGAGAGCGAGAGC
This 84-nucleotide microRNA precursor is filed under the name Ochotona princeps (American pika). RNAcentral's name for it is "miRNA (ENSOPRG00000017872.1)". It matches the Rfam family "mir-500 microRNA precursor family". The record is from RNAcentral. Lineage: Eukaryota; Metazoa; Chordata; Mammalia; Lagomorpha; Ochotonidae.